RNAcentral lists this ribosomal RNA (504 nucleotides) under uncultured bacterium. RNAcentral's name for it is "bacterial SSU rRNA". It matches the Rfam family "Bacterial small subunit ribosomal RNA", at positions 20 to 518 of the family's 1533-position model. The record is from RNAcentral.
UGGCUCAGGAUGAACGCUAGCGACAGGCCUAACACAUGCAAGUCGAGGGGCAGCACAAGGAGCAAUCUGAGGUGGCGACCGGCGCACGGGUGAGUAACACGUAUGCAACCUGCCUGUAAGCGGGGAAUAACCCGUUGAAAGACGGACUAAUACCGCAUAAUACUAAAUUACUGCAUGGUAAUUUAUUUAAACAUUUAUGGCUUACAGAUGGGCAUGCGCAUGAUUAGCUAGUUGGAGAGGUAACGGCUCCCCAAGGCAACGAUCAUUAGGGGUUCUGAGAGGAAGGUCCCCCACACUGGUACUGAGACACGGACCAGACUCCUACGGGAGGCAGCAGUGAGGAAUAUUGGUCAAUGGACGAGAGUCUGAACCAGCCAAGUCGCGUGCAGGAAGAAUUGUCCUAUGGAUUGUAAACUGCUUUUGCAGGGGAAUAAAGUGCAUCACGUGUGAUGUUUUGUAUGUACUCUGCGAAUAAGGAUCGGCUAACUCCGUGCCAGCCGCCGC